RNAcentral lists this ribosomal RNA (305 nucleotides) under uncultured Planctomycetia bacterium. RNAcentral's name for it is "bacterial SSU rRNA". It matches the Rfam family "Bacterial small subunit ribosomal RNA", at positions 794 to 1094 of the family's 1533-position model. The record is from RNAcentral. Lineage: Bacteria; Pseudomonadati; Planctomycetota; Planctomycetia.
UCCUGGCUGUAAACGUUGAGUGCUAGUUGGAAGGGAUUUCGGUCCAUUCUGACGCAGUGAAAACAUUAAGCACUCCGCCUGGGGAGUAUGGUCGCAAGGCUGAAACUCAAGGGAAUUGACGGGGGCUCACACAAGCGGUGGAGGAUGUGGCUUAAUUCGAGGCAACGCGACGAACCUUAUCCUGGAUUUGACAUGCAUGGAUUAACUUUAUGAAAGUAGAGCCACACCUUCGGGUGGAACAUGCACAGGUGCUGCAUGGCUAUCGUCAGCUCGUGUCGUGAGACGUCGCGUUAAGUCGCUUAACG